RNAcentral lists this ribosomal RNA (497 nucleotides) under uncultured bacterium. Its description in RNAcentral is "partial 16S ribosomal RNA". It matches the Rfam family "Bacterial small subunit ribosomal RNA", at positions 28 to 507 of the family's 1533-position model. The record is from RNAcentral.
GACGAACGCUGGCGGCGUGCCUAAUACAUGCAAGUAGAACGCUGAAGAGAGGAGCUUGCUCUUCUUGGAUGAGUUGCGAACGGGUGAGUAACGCGUAGGUAACCUGCCUUGUAGCGGGGGAUCACUAUUGGAAACGAUAGCUAAUACCGCAUAACAAUGGCUGACACAUGUCAUUUAUUUGAAAGGGGCAAUUGCUCCACUACAAGAUGGACCUGCGUUGUAUUAGCUAGUAGGUGAGGUAAUGGCUCACCUAGGCGACGAUACAUAGCCGACCUGAGAGGGGGAUCGGCCACACUGAGACUGAGACACGGCCCAGACUCCGACGGGAGGCAGCAGUAGGGAAUCCUCGGCAAUGGGGGCAACCCUGACCGAGAAACGCCGCGUGAGUGAAGAAGGUUUUCGGAUCGUAAAGCUCUGUUGUAAGUCAAGAACGGGUGUGAGAGUGGAAAGUUCACACUGUGACGGUAGCGUACCAGAAAGGGACGGCUAACUACGUG